GACGAACGCUGGCGGCGUGCCUAACACAUGCAAGUCGAACGGAGUAGAGAGCUUCGGUUUUCUACUUAGUGGCGAACGGGUGAGUAACGCGUGAGAAACCUGCCUUUCAGUGGGGGACAACAGUUGGAAACGACUGCUAAUACCGCAUAAUGUUAUUUGGGGGCAUCCCCGAAUAACCAAAGCUUUAUGUGCUGAAAGAUGGUCUCGCGUCUGAUUAGCUAGUUGGUGAGGUAACGGCUCACCAAGGCGACGAUCAGUAGCCGGUCUGAGAGGAUGAACGGCCACAUUGGGACUGAGAUACGGCCCAGACUCCUACGAGAGGCAGCAGCGGGGAAUAUUGGGCAAUGGGGGAAACCCUGACCCAGCAACGCCGCGUGAAGGAAGAAGGCCUUCGGGUUGUAAACUUCUUUUACCUAGGGACGAAGAACGUGACGGUACCUGGAGAAAAAGCAACGGCUAACUACGUGCCAGCAGCCG
This 477-nucleotide ribosomal RNA is filed under the name uncultured bacterium. RNAcentral describes it as "bacterial SSU rRNA". It matches the Rfam family "Bacterial small subunit ribosomal RNA", at positions 28 to 517 of the family's 1533-position model. The record is from RNAcentral.